GUGGGUCUCGCCGAAGUUCCAGGAGCGCACAGCCUGCAGAGCUGCCCGGGCAGUCGCUGGCGUGCCAAUCACCAGGCCCGUUCC
This 84-nucleotide transfer RNA is filed under the name Sphingomonas paucimobilis. Its description in RNAcentral is "tRNA-Cys(gca)". Lineage: Bacteria; Pseudomonadati; Pseudomonadota; Alphaproteobacteria; Sphingomonadales; Sphingomonadaceae. The record is from RNAcentral.